UACGUAGGGUCCAAGCGUUGUCCGGAAUUAUUGGGCGUAAAGAGCUCGUAGGCGGUCCAUUAAGUCUGAUGUGAAAUCUCAGGGCUCAACCCUGAAAUCGCAUUCGAUACUGGUGGACUUGAGGCAGGUAGGGGAAGGUGGAAUUCCUGGUGUAGCGGUGAAAUGCGCAGAUAUCAGGAGGAACACCGGUGGCGAAGGCGGCCUUCUGGGCCUGUUCUGACGCUGAGGAGCGAAAGCGUGGGGAGCAAACAGG
RNAcentral lists this non-coding RNA (253 nucleotides) under uncultured prokaryote. RNAcentral describes it as "partial 16S ribosomal RNA". It matches the Rfam family "Bacterial small subunit ribosomal RNA", at positions 524 to 776 of the family's 1533-position model. RNAcentral also lists the same sequence under 1 other name. The record is from RNAcentral.